GGGGGCGAAAAGGGUUCGACGGGGAUCGUUGACGACAGGGCUGCAUACCGAGGUCCCAUUGGCUCGUAAAACAAAUGGGUUUUAAACAUAAUCGCAGCCAACUACGAUUAUGCUCUGGCUGCCUAAUCGCAGCCAGCGUCUCUUCUGCCUUCUCCUGUAGGGCGGAUCAGGGAUGUCAGAGAUACAGGAUAGCUCCUUUCUGAUGCUUAUAGGAAGGGAGUGAAUCUCAAUAAGCUAAUCCUUCCGAAAUCCUGCCUAUGGGAGUUUGGAAGGAUGAAUAAAAAACAUAGGCUAAGUAUGUAGAUGCUCUGUCGGAAGGUUUCCGGACGCGGGUUCGAUUCCCGCCGCCUCCACCA
This 356-nucleotide transfer-messenger RNA is filed under the name bacterium. Its description in RNAcentral is "f UBA1163 X3 Standard tmRNA". It matches the Rfam family "transfer-messenger RNA". Rfam says of the family: Bacterial tmRNA, also known as 10Sa RNA or SsrA, is named for its dual tRNA and mRNA-like properties. Its role is to liberate the mRNA from a stalled ribosome. The record is from RNAcentral. RNAcentral also lists the same sequence under 1 other name.